AUUGAACGCUGGCGGCAGGCCUAACACAUGCAAGUCGAGCGGAUGAAGGGAGCUUGCUCCUGGAUUCAGCGGCGGACGGGUGAGUAAUGCCUAGGAAUCUGCCUGGUAGUGGGGGAUAACGUCCGGAAACGGGCGCUAAUACCGCAUACGUCCUGAGGGAGAAAGUGGGGGAUCUUCGGACCUCACGCUAUCAGAUGAGCCUAGGUCGGAUUAGCUAGUUGGUGGGGUAAAGGCCUACCAAGGCGACGAUCCGUAACUGGUCUGAGAGGAUGAUCAGUCACACUGGAACUGAGACACGGUUCGGACUCCUACGGGAGGCAGCAGUGGGGAAUAUUGGACAAUGGGCGAAAGCCUGAUCCAGCCAUGCCGCGUGUGUGAAGAAGGUCUUCGGAUUGUAAAGCACUUUAAGUUGGGAGGAAGGGCAGUAAGUUAAUACCUUGCUGUUUUGACGUUACCAACAGAAUAAGCACCGGCUAACUUCGU
Molecule: ribosomal RNA, 483 nt
Filed under: uncultured bacterium
Lineage: Bacteria
Description: partial 16S ribosomal RNA
Rfam family: Bacterial small subunit ribosomal RNA
Source: RNAcentral